UCCUGGCUCAGAACGAACGCUGGCGGCGUGGAUUAGGCAUGCAAGUCGAACGAGAAAGGUUCCUUCGGGAGCUGAGUACAGUGGCAAACGGGUGAGUAACGCGUGGAAAACCUGCCCUUCGGUUGGGGACAACAUCUCUAACGGGGUGCUAAUACCGAAUACCACCACGGAGUCGCAUGGCUCUGUGAUGAAAGGCGGCCUCUACUUGUAAGCCGUCGCCGAAGGAUGGUUCCGCGUCCCAUUAGCUAGUUGGUGAGGUAAUGGCUCACCAAGGCGAGGAUGGGUAGCCGGCCUUAGCGGGUGACCGGCCACACUGGGACUGAGAUACGGCCCAGACUCCUACGGGAGGCAGCAGUCGAGAGGCAUCCACAAUGGGGGAAACCCUGAUGGUGCGACGCCGCGUGGGCGAUGAAGGUCUUCGGAUCGUAAAGCCCUUUCAGCAAGGACGAUAAGGACGGGUGUUAAUAUCAUCCGACCCUAGACGGUACUUGCAUAAGAAGCUCCGGCUAACUCCGUGCCAGCAGCCGCGGUAAGACGGGGGGAGCAAGCGUUGUUCGGAAUUACUGGGCGUAAAGGGCGUCUAGGCGGACUUGUAAGUCAGAUGUGAAAUCCCUCGGCUUAACCGGGGAACUGCAUUUGAUACUGUAGGUCUUGAGUACGGAAGAGGAAAGCGGAAUUCCUGGUGUAGCGGUGAAAUGCGUAGAUAUCAGGAAGAACACCGGUGGCGAAGGCGGCUUUCUGGUCCGUUACUGACGCUGAAGCGCGAAAGUGUGGGGAGCGAACAGGAUUAGAUACCCUGGUAGUCCACACUGUAAACGAUGGAUGCUAGGUGUCGGGGG
RNAcentral lists this ribosomal RNA (839 nucleotides) under uncultured organism. RNAcentral describes it as "bacterial SSU rRNA". It matches the Rfam family "Bacterial small subunit ribosomal RNA", at positions 17 to 829 of the family's 1533-position model. The record is from RNAcentral.